CCUACGGGUGGCUGCAGUGGGGAAUAUUGGACAAUGGGCGAAAGCCUGAUCCAGCCAUGCCGCGUGUGUGAAGAAGGCCUUCGGGUUGUAAAGCACUUUCAGUGGGGAAGAAAGCCUUGGGGCUAAUACCCUCGAGGAAGGACAUCACCCACAGAAGAAGCACCGGCUAACUCCGUGCCAGCAGCCGCGGUAAUACGGAGGGUGCGAGCGUUAAUCGGAAUUACUGGGCGUAAAGCGCGCGUAGGCGGUCUGAUAAGCCGGUUGUGAAAGCCCCGGGCUCAACCUGGGAACGGCAUCCGGAACUGUCAGGCUAGAGUGCAGGAGAGGAAGGUAGAAUUCCCGGUGUAGCGGUGAAAUGCGUAGAGAUCGGGAGGAAUACCAGUGGCGAAGGCAGCCUUCUGGACUGACACUGACGCUGAGGUGCGAAAGCGUGGGUAGCAAACAGGAUUAGAUACCCGUGUAGUC
Molecule: ribosomal RNA, 465 nt
Filed under: Vreelandella stevensii
Lineage: Bacteria; Pseudomonadati; Pseudomonadota; Gammaproteobacteria; Oceanospirillales; Halomonadaceae
Description: partial 16S ribosomal RNA
Rfam family: Bacterial small subunit ribosomal RNA
Source: RNAcentral